CCUAGUUGACCCUACUAGUAGUUAUAUGCUUGUCUCAAAGAUUAAACCAUGUAUGUGUAGGUAUGGACAAAUUCAGACUGUGAAACUACGAAUGACUCAUUAAAUCAGUUAUAGUUUGUUUGAUAGUACCUACUACUCUGAUAAUCAUAGUAAUUCUAGAGCUAAUAGGUACAACAAACCUCGACUUCUGGAAGGGAUGCAUUAAUUAGAUAAAAGGUCAAUGUGGGUUCUGCUUAUUGCUGUGAUGAUUCAUGAUAACUCGACGAAUCACAUUGCCAUUGUACUGACGAUGCAUCAUUCAAAUUUCUGUCCUAUCAACUUUCGAUGGUAAGAUAGUGGCCUACUAUGGUGGUGACGGGUGACGAAGAAUUAGGGUUUGAUUCUAGAAAGGGAGCCUAAGAAAUAGCUACCACAUCUAACGAAGGCAGCAGGCGUGCAAAUUAUGUAGUCCUGACAUGGGGAGGUAGUGACAAUAAAUAACAAUACCGGGCUCUAUGAGUAUGGUAAUUAGAAUGAGUACAAUUUAAAUCCUUUAACGAGGAUCCAUUGGAAGAAUGGUCUGGUGCUAGCAGCCGCGGUAAUUCCUGUUCCAAUAGCGUAUAUUUAAGUUCUUAUAGUUAAAAAGCUCAUAGUUGGAUUUUGGGAUGGGCAGACUGGUCCACCCUAGGUGUGCACCGAUCGUCUCGUCCCUUCUGUUGGCGAUGCACUCUGGCCUUAAUUGGCUAGGUCGUGCCUCCUACACUAUUAUUUUGAAGAAAUUAGAGUGUUCAAAGCAAUCCUACUCUUUAUGUAAAUUAGCAUGGGAUAAUAUUAUAGGAUUUCGGCCCUAUUACGUUAGCCUUCGGGAUCGAAGUAAUUAUUAUCAGGGAUAGUUGGGGGCAUUCGUAUUUCGUAGUCAGAGGUGAAAUUCUUGAAUUUAUAAAAGAUGAACAACUACAAAAGUAUUUGCCAAGGAUGUUUUCAUUAAUCAAGAUCAAAAGUUGGAAGCUCGAAGAUGAUCAGAUACCAUCCUAAUCUUUACCAUAAACGACGCCGAUCAGGGAUCGACAAAUGUUGCUUUUAGGACUCCACUAGCACCUUAUGAGAAAUUAAAGUUUUUGGAUUCCGGUGGGAGUAUGCUUGUGAGGCUGAAACAUAAAGGAAUUGACCGAAGGGAGCUACCAGGAGUGGAUCCAGUGGCUUAAUUUGACUUAACACAGGGAAACUUAUCAGAUAUAGACAUAGUAAGGAUUGACAGACUAAGAGCUCUUUUUUGAUUCUAUGGGUGGUGGUGUAUGGCCGUUCUUAGUUGUUAGAGCAAUUUGUCUAGUUAAUUUCUGUUAACGAAUGAGACAUCAGCCUACUAACUAACUAUAUGGAUGUAUCCCUUCAUGGCCAGCUUCUUAGAAGGACUACGGUCUUUUACGCCCCGGAAGUUUAACGCAAUAAUAGGUCUAUGAUGCCCUUAGAUUUUUUGGGUUGCAUGCACGCUACAAUGAUAUAUUCAAUGAGUUUUUCCCAAUAGGCCCAGGUAAUCUUUGAAAUUUCAUGGUGAUAGGGAUAGAUCAUUACAAUUAUUGGUCUUCAAUAAGGAAUUCCUAGUAAGCGUGAAUCAUCAGCUCGCGUUAACUACGUCCCUACCCUUUGUACACACCGCUCGUCGCUCCUACCGAUUAAAUUAUCUGGUGAAAUAUUCAAAUUGCGACAACGUGGGUGGUUCGCUACCUACAACAUCGUGAGAAGUCUAUUGAACCUUAUCAUUUAGAGAAAGGAUUAAUCAUUAUAAGGUUUCCGUAGGUGAACCUGCGGAAG
Molecule: ribosomal RNA, 1791 nt
Filed under: Solanum virginianum
Lineage: Eukaryota; Viridiplantae; Streptophyta; Magnoliopsida; Solanales; Solanaceae
Description: SSU rRNA
Rfam family: Eukaryotic small subunit ribosomal RNA
Source: RNAcentral